This 6320-nucleotide long non-coding RNA is filed under the name Equus caballus (horse). RNAcentral's name for it is "lncRNA (ENSECAG00000047251.1)". The record is from RNAcentral. Lineage: Eukaryota; Metazoa; Chordata; Mammalia; Perissodactyla; Equidae.
AAGCUGGGAAAGCACACGAGUACAUAUGGUAUUUUAAAAGAUCUGCACCUGCUUUUCUCAGACCAGCUGGCAGACUAUUCAAAGAAAAGAACCGUUCUUUCUGGAAAUACUCAGGACUGAAAUCAUCUAUCAGGGGGUUGAUAGAAGCUCUCUGGGAUCGAUUGCAGGAAGACUGUGCCAACCAUCGUUUUAGAAAUUUGAACAGAAUUAGAACAGGUACUGUGUUUUAAAGAGCGAUUUUGAGGUUUUGACACCCUGUACGUUUUGCAUAUGCCCGAGAAAUGGCAGAAGCAGCACACAUCUGCUUUGCAUAUAAAAUUGUCAUUUCCAUAUUAAGUUGCUUUAUAACCAGGUUCCAGGUGCUACUUUUGAGAUGCAGUGGAAUAAGAGCAUCCAUCAGCGCAUCUGAACAGCAGAAACAUCAGGCAACAGCUGGGAGCUGGCCUGUGCAGGUUCCUAAGUGGGGCCCUGUCCUCCGGGGCCUCCAGGCCCAGCACUCAGAGAAUUAAUUCACUGCACAAGGCCUGCAGGCGACCUGCAUCUCACCCCUUGGCCAUCCUGGAGCCUGCAUCCUUGAUUCUGGUUCUUGGAGUCUAACUUCUUGGAAACAGUUACUGAAAUUUAAUAGAAAGCAUGUGAAAAGAAUGAUGUAUUUGGGCCAAUUUGAUAGCUAUCCUAAAAAGCUGUGCCUGGGCAUUAUUCCUGGGAAACGACAUUUAAUUUCUCACAGAGCACGCAAGCCCAAAGGGUUCAUAUAGCCAACUCUGCUAUUUAAAACCAUCCAGGGUUCUUGCUGUGCCUUUUGUUGAGUGCAGUUGCAUUAUCUAAUGAAUAAUCAAUGCUCAACUGACACCUGAGGGCCCAAACACUAGUCCUCAACUAAAUUCACUGAUCUGUUCUCUGUUCCUAAUCUUUACCGCUGGGCUGCUUCUCCUAACGUUGAAGCUUUGGCUCUGACCUUCAGCCCACCAGUUUCAGGGGACAUUCAAUAGAUCCAUGGGCCCCUGGGACCGCAGAUGUUAUACUUUAGGGCAGAUGGACGAUAUGUAUAUACUAUUGGACCCACCUGUGACUUUAAUCCACUAUUAUCUUUAGCUCCUUUAUUUUUUUCUCAUUCAUUCAUUUAUCCACUUAACAAAUAUUUCUUGCCAGGGACUCUGCAGACUCUGGGCUUGAAGAAUGCUUUUGUUUCUGUUCCUGCCUUGAGGAGUUUGUGGUAGUUGCAGGUCCCAGGAUGUGGCAGUAACUCACUUCGACCUUGGGCUUUCUCUCUCGGGGUCUCAGACGUUGGAAUGGACCAUGUCUCUGAUUUCUCAGAGCCUGGAGAUUCAGGGUCAAGGCCCGGCUCUCCUGGGUAUGGGAAGUUUUUUCAUGUGUUUAGCGACGUUUCACUGUCGGGUGGUGGCAAAGCCAAGUGGGUUGAUUCUGCACUACAGAAGAGAACGUCUUUCAUCUUUUCAGCUCGUAGAAGUCCAGCGUGGUAUGUCAGAGCACCUGGAGGGAAAGGAUUAUAUUUUAUUCAUUUUGCCUUCUCAGCUUCUGGCACAGAAUUGAGCAUGUAGUAGGAGCUUUCAAAAUGAAUGGAAUGUGAACGGACAUAUCUGCUCAAAGUGUAUAUCUUACUCCGGGAUCAAUGGGCUCAUCUUCCUGGACGAAGGGAAGCUUUAUUGUUCCAGAGCAUCAUUCAACUUCUGAAAUGGAGACAGGAAAGUGCUGCACAACAGUUCCCCAUGAAUGCAGCUAAACGGGAUGUGACUAGACAUGCCGCCUAGCAGAGCCUACGAUCUUCAUUCUUCAGGAAGUCGUGGAUGAGUGCUUCCCAUGGGCUGACUUCAACUGGAAACUGGAGGGCAAGGGAGCUCGUUGAUGUAGUCCACAUGUGUCAAACUUCUGGAACACAGAGCCAGGAAGAGGAUGGAGAGUGGAUCUGAAGGGGUGAAUGGAAGACAUCUGACAUGGAUGCUACGGGCUAGAGAGAAGAGGGGGCUAUGGGACCAAGUGGAAAGAAGUGAGACUGAAAAAACACCCGAGCAAGGCGGCCUGUUCCAGGUUGCUGGUUGGCAGCCAAGCAGCCUGAGGUCAUCUCACUGGUACCCGGAAAGACCGCCCACUGUCAGCUGUCAGCCUGAUGCCCAGUGCAGGCUCCAUUUGGAGCCAUGAUCGUCUGCGCAGUGAGACUCUGUCCAAUGCCCCAUCUGCCUCUCAUUUAUGAACAUCACCAGUGCCCUUGCAUGUGCCCACAGAUGGGAGGCCGAGGACUUAAACCUCUUUAUAAAAAACUAAAUUUAGUUAAAAAACAAAAAUUGUAUAUAUUUAAGGUGUACACCAUGAUGAUUAGAUAUGCAUAUACACAGUGAAAUGAUUACUAAGUGAAGUUAAGUAACUUGUCAUCUCAUCCCAUAGUUACCACUUUUUUUUGUCAUGAGAGCACCUGAAAUCUACUCUCUUAGCAAAUUUCCAGUAUUCAGUACAGUAUUAUCAACUAUAAUCAUCAUGCUGUACAUCAGAUGUCUGGACUCACUGAGGGGUGAUGCUGGCACGAAGGCAGGAGCCUCAUCUCUGGCCAAGGUGGGACCAGACUGAGCACGUUUAGCAGGACUGCUGUCCGCAACGCUGUUUCAGUUAACAUGAUGUAACCGGGGACAUUCCUGGGCAGGACAGUAGAGCCUCAGAGCAGCAGCUGCUGGAGGAGUUCCCUAUAAAUUGUCAAUGGUGUUAGGAUUUGGGCUAUGUCUCAAUAUAUGUGGAUGUGUUUUCUUCUGUUACAGAGCUGACCUUGAAAUUGGCGAUAUGGAUGACUGGGAAUCUUUCAAAUUUCAUUACUCCAGGUAGAGCCCCAAAUCCAUAAUAUGGCCUGCUGGGCUGUGCAAAACCCAGCCCCGCCUGCCUCACCAUCAUCAUCUUGUGGCACUUGCCCCUUGUUCUCUGCACUCUACACCCAGAGCCUUAUUUCAGGGCCUCCAAUGGCCACACCCUUUUCACCUCUUGGUCUGCCCCUCUGAUUCCCUCUGUCUCCUCCUCUAGCCACUUUGUUCCUUAAUUUCUACUCAACUCAAGGUUACUUCUUCAUGAAAGCCCUCCCCGACCUUCUGGACAGGGCAGGGUCAUCACUUGCAUGUUCUCAUAGCAUCUUUCCCGUCUAUCACUUCUGAAAAUUUUAAUUAAAUCAUUAAGUGGACAAAUAGUUGUUUAAUGUCUGCUCUCCCGCCCCCGGCUGUUUGACUGUAAGCUCUGAUUUGCUGCUGCCUGGUGCCUGUGCAUAGAAGACACUCCGUAAAUAUUUGAGCGAAUUAUUGACCAAAAGCUGAAAAUGAGUUAGGAGUGGGUGUAUACACACUGCACAGAAAAGAAAUAAGAAGAGGCAUAGAUUAGAAAGGACAUACUUCCCGCCCUCUCCCCACCCCAGCCUUUCUUGGUGCUGGGAAUGAGGAGCAGAGGCCAGGAGAGAAAGCAGUGAAAAACAGGGCGCAGAGGCAGGCAGAGUUGACCAAUUCCCCAGACACUGCGGGACGAGGAGCAAAAGCCGUUGUUAGAUGUCACAACACUGAUCUCAUGCCUUCUAGCGAAAGAAAAUCUGGUCAAGCAAUAUUAACAGAAGAAGCCUUUAAAAAUGUGAGAAUAGUAAACCGCCUCUCUGCUGACUGAUUUGCAAAGGUCCGGGCUCAGAGCCUGAAGUGAUAACAGGUUCAGGCCAUCAGAAAUUAUUUUAACUGGUGUCCUGACAUCUGGGGAAUUCAGGGGCCAGCCAAAUGAAGCGGGCUAUUUAUAAAAUGUUUGUAGCUCUCUAGUCCCUCAGAACAACAAACACAAGAAGGCAUCGAAAUACCGAUAUUAGAAUUCACCUGUCCCAAAUUACAAAGUAGUCAGGAGCAGAGAAUAAAAUGCCAGGAUUAAAACCUACAUCUUUAUUUCGUGAUGGCAGAUUUAUAUUUGUGGGAGGGGAUGGUCUCUACGGAAGAGAUCGCAUUAUAAACUUGGGCCUGACAGCCUCUAAGAAAUAAUGCCUGGCUCCAGAGAAGGACAGAGUUGAAGUUUAUAGGGAACUUAGAGAAAUGAUUUAGGAGACCCAUGAGAAUGUCAAGAAAGAGAUUGGUGAAGCAGGUGAGGAACCGAGUGAGAAAGGGAGUGGGAAUAUGUGAGUGAGAUGAUGGGGGGAGCAAGGCAAGAGGAUGAAGGAGACAAAUCUGACUAAUAGGUGCAUAGCCAUUGCAAAUCCUUAUUUAUUUAUUAUUUUUUUUCAAUUCUCUGUCUUUUUACUCCUACUAUUAGUUUUUUUUCUAAAACCUCUUUUUUGGGGUAGAUUGACAUACAAAAAGCUGUAGAUGGUUAAUGUAUACAACUUGAUGUGUUUGGAGAUAUGUAUAUACCUGUGAAACCAUCAACACAAUCUAUACCAUAAAUAUCCUUUACCUCCAAAAGUUUCCUCUCUUCCUUUUUUGUUGUUGGUUUUUUUUUUUUUUAAAGAUUGGCACUUGAGCUAACAUCUAUUGCCAAUCUUCAUCUUUUUUCCCUUCUUCUUCCUCUCCCCAAAGCCCCCCGGUACAUAGUUGUGUGUUCUAGUUGUAGGUCCUUCUGGUUGUGCUAUGUGGGAUGCCGCCUCAGCAUGGCCUGAUGAUCUGUGCUAGGUCAGUGCUCAGCAUCUGAACCAGUGAAACCCUGGGCUGCUGAAGCAGAGCGCAUGAACCUAACCACUUAGCCACGGGGCGGACCCCUUUGUUGUUUUGUUUUAUUGUUUUCCUUUUGCGGUAAGAGUAUUUAACAUAAGUCAUGCUCCCUUAGCCAAUUUUUAAGUAUACAGUACAGCCUUGUUAAUCAUAGGCCCUAUGUCAUCCAGUAGAUCUCCAGGAAGCAUUCAUCUUGCAUAACGGAAACUUUGAACCCCUUGAUCAACACUUCUUCAUUGCCUGCUCCCUCCAUCCCCUGGAAACCACUGUUCUACUCUCUGCUUCUACGUGUUUGAUGAGCAAAUUCUUUUAUUUUUAAUUCAAGGUUUGAAUUAAUGUUUACUAACCAUGAUAACGUUAUUCCUUUUAGCUUACAUGGCCCAGCUAAAUGGCUUAGCUUCUAAGAAUUGAUUAAGAUCCUCUUUGUCCCUUUUCAUCGUGCUGACUCUUGGCACUGCUGCAUUCUCUGCUCAUUUUCUGUUGCAGGCCUGUUUUCCCCACACCUGUGAUAGAAAAUGCUAUGAUUUACAGCAGUUAAUAGAGUAAUAAUAUACAAUAGAUUAAAAGAUAACAUACCAUACCAUAUGCAUAGUUUUAACUCAUUGUAAUAAAACAUAAUCCAAGAUACAAAUAAUACGUGAUAGAAUGCAUGACAAUAUGCAACAGAGUAUUAAGAAAAAGUACAUUCUUACUUAUCUCAGCUGGUGAAAAGGAGGUUCUGGUAAAUUGAAGAUUGUGGUGAACCGAAAGUUGGAAUCAGGCCUGGACACCUGCUUCAGCUGAGCCAGCCGUCAUCUGGAUGUGUGACUUGAACAGGAGUGGUAGAGAUUUCCGCUCAAAAGUUCAGACUCCAUGGAAUCUAGCCAUGAGAUGUCUGUUCGGGCCUCCAGUCUUCUUAGGAAUCAUUAGGAAAAUCCAGAUGUGUUGGAGAGGAGUCACAGCUUCCGUGUUUAUUAGGUGACCCUGUAGCUCCCAGGGGUUGGAGUCAACAUUCUACUGCUUCUCACGUCCCACUUUCUUUUACACACUUGCCACUUUCUAGUUCAAACCUGACGCUUCCUACUCCUCACAUCACAAUGGUGUAACCCCACUUACCUCUCUCCCAAGCUUUCCUCUGUUUUGUCAUCUCCUUUACUUCUACAUAAAUUGUAAAUCUCACCUUACAGUAUUACUAUGCAUUAGUUUGCUUUGAAGGAAAUUAGGAGAGGAAAAAUAAGAGUGUUUUAUGUUUACCCACUGAUUUAAUAAUUCUGGUGUUCCUCCUUGCUUCCUAGAGACCCGAGUUUCCACCUGGUAUCAUUUCCCAAGCCUGAGGAACAUCUUCUGGCAUGUCUUUUCGUGCAAGUCUGCUGGCCACAAAUUCUCUCAGCUUUCUUUUCUCUGAAGAUGUCUUUCCUCACUCUGCUUUUGAAGAAUAUUUUUGCUGGCUACAAAAUUUUGGGUUGACAGUUUUCAGUAUUUUAAGGAUGCGAUUGCAUCGUCUUCUGCCUCCAUUCUUCUUUUCCUUCCUCUCCUCCUCCUUUUCCUCCUUUUUCCUUUUUUUCUGAUGAUAACUCAGCCAUCAUUUAUAUUAUUGAUCCCUGGUCUGUGAAGUCUUUUUUUCUCUAUUUUCAAAAUCUUCUCUUUACCAUUGGUUUUCAACUGUUUGACUGUGAA